RNAcentral lists this unclassified non-coding RNA (255 nucleotides) under fungal sp. RNAcentral describes it as "partial internal transcribed spacer region". The stretch from base 1 to 46 matches the Rfam family "Eukaryotic small subunit ribosomal RNA", at positions 1786 to 1831 of the family's 1831-position model. Lineage: Eukaryota; Fungi. The record is from RNAcentral.
AAGUCGUAACAAGGUCUCCGUUGGUGAACCAGCGGAGGGAUCAUUAGCGAGUUAAUCAUAAACUCCAAAACCCCUGUGAACUUACCUAUGUUGCCUCGGCAGGUCGUGGUGUGUAGCGGUGACCACUGGGUCGCUUGCCUCGCACCACGCUGAAAAGACCUGUCAAAGGACCCCUAAACUCUGUUUUUACAACUGUAUCUCUGAGUCUAUUAUACAAAUAAGUUAAAACUUUCAACAACGGAUCUCUUGGCUCUG